GGCCAAGUCCCCUGGAACGGGGCGCCGCAGAGGGUGAGAGUCCCGUACGGCCAGGGUGGACGCCCGCACGAGGCCCUUUCGACGAGUCGAGUUGUUUGGGAAUGCAGCUCAAAACGGGUGGUAAAUUUCAUCCAAAGCUAAAUACUGGCCAGAGACCGAUAGCGCACAAGUAGCGUGAGCGAAAGAUGAAAAGCACUUUGGAAAGAGAGUUAAAAAGCACGUGAAAUUGUUGAAAGGGAAGCGCUUGCGGCCAGACUCGCCCGCGGGUGCUCACCCCCGUCUUCGGGCGGGGGGCACUCACCCGCGGCCGGGCCAGCAUGGGCUCCGGCGGUCGGACAAAGGCCCGGGGAACGUACCUCCCCUCGGGGAGUUUUAUAGCCCCGGGUGCAAUGCGGUCAGCCGGGGCCGAGGAACGCGCAUUCGCUAGGAUGCUGGCAUAAUGGCCGCCAGCGGCCCGUCUUGAAACACGGACCAAGGAGUCGAUCGAUGCCGCGAGUGUUUGGGUGCAAAACCCGCACGCGCAAUGAAAGUGAACGCAGGUGGGAGCUUCGGCGCACCAUCGACCGAUCCUGAUGUUCACGGAUGGAUUCGAGUAUGAGCGGUGCCGAUCGGACCCGAAAGGUACGUUUUAUUCCUCAUCCCCCGGGAAUCCCUCGCUAACCCUUCUUUCAGAUGGUGAACUAUACGUGGCUAGGGCGAAGCCAGAGGAAACUCUGGUGGAGGCUCGUAGUGAUUCUAACGUGCAAAUUGAUCUCCAAAGCUGCGUAUAGGGGCGAAAGACUUAUCGAACCAUGGCAAUUGCUAGGUGGUUACAGAAGGAUCUUAGUCCCCCGGGGACGAUAUCGCCACUUGCAUGGAUGCUCAUCUUUGACAAACAUGCGGCGCCCGGAUCAUCGAAGGGCGUUCACAGACCNAACGGCGAGGGCUCUCCCCCGCGGGGAGAGUUUUGAAAUGGCCGGGUUCCGCCUCGCAAGAGGGAGGAAUUCAACGCUAGUANCUGGUUCCUGUCGAAGUUUCCCUCGUAUGUGGCUCCCCCCCGCGCCCCCCGACAGCGAGAAAACAGCGUGCUAACGAAUUUGCAGAGGAUAGCAGAGACGACUUCAGUUUUAUGAGGUAAAGCGAAUGAUUAGAGGUUCGGGGGCCGAAACUGGCCUUCACCUAUUCUCAAACUUUAAAUAUGUAAGAAGCCCUUGUUGCUUAAUUGAACGUGGGCCUUCGAAAUGUNCGUUUUCUAGUGGGCCAU
RNAcentral lists this ribosomal RNA (1243 nucleotides) under Coenogonium pineti. RNAcentral describes it as "eukaryotic LSU rRNA". It matches the Rfam family "Eukaryotic large subunit ribosomal RNA", at positions 178 to 1134 of the family's 3401-position model. The record is from RNAcentral. Lineage: Eukaryota; Fungi; Ascomycota; Lecanoromycetes; Ostropales; Coenogoniaceae.